CUGUGGUGCAUUGUAGUUGCAUUGCAUGAUCCUCAGCCCGGUGCAAUGUGCCUUCAGUGCAGUACAG
This 67-nucleotide microRNA precursor is filed under the name Scleropages formosus (Asian bonytongue). RNAcentral's name for it is "mir-33 microRNA precursor family". It matches the Rfam family "mir-33 microRNA precursor family". The record is from Rfam by way of RNAcentral. Lineage: Eukaryota; Metazoa; Chordata; Actinopteri; Osteoglossiformes; Osteoglossidae.